GGGGGCGAAUGGUAUCGACAGGGGUAAACAGCCUGGUGGUUGCAUGCCGAGGCGCCAUACCUCGUAAAAAGUGGCAACAAAAUAAUUGGCAUAAGCCAAGUUGCAUUUGCUGCAUAAGCGGCAAACAUCUCUCAGACCUUGUCUAUCAGGUCUGAAAAGAUGUCGGGAUGAUAGGCUGCUUCUGCUGAAGUUUCUCGGUCAGCAGGAAAAGACAUUAGAGAAUAGACUUUAGAAAAUCCUGUUCGGAGGAGUUUCUAAGGUUGAAUUUAAUAUCCGAAAAAAGCAUGUAGUGACUGUCAGUAUGUUACCUCUGGACGUGGGUUCGAUUCCCACCGCCUCCACCA
This 344-nucleotide transfer-messenger RNA is filed under the name Candidatus Cloacimonas sp. 4484_209. It matches the Rfam family "transfer-messenger RNA". From Rfam's summary of the family: Bacterial tmRNA, also known as 10Sa RNA or SsrA, is named for its dual tRNA and mRNA-like properties. The record is from RNAcentral. Lineage: Bacteria; Pseudomonadati; Candidatus Cloacimonadota; Cloacimonadia (SeqCode); Cloacimonadales (SeqCode); Cloacimonadaceae (SeqCode).